RNAcentral lists this ribosomal RNA (493 nucleotides) under uncultured marine bacterium. Its description in RNAcentral is "bacterial SSU rRNA". It matches the Rfam family "Bacterial small subunit ribosomal RNA", at positions 44 to 526 of the family's 1533-position model. The record is from RNAcentral.
AGGCCUAACACAUGCAAGUCGAGCGGUAACACAAGGGAGCUUGCUCCUGAGGUGACGAGCGGCGGACGGGUGAGUAAUGCCUAGGUAUCUGCCCAGUCGAGGGGGAUAACAGUUGGAAACGACUGCUAAUACCGCAUACGCCCUACGGCGGAAAGGAGGGGACCUUCGGGCCUUCCGCGAUUGGAUGAACCUAGGUGCGAUUAGCUAGUUGGUGAGGUAAUGGCUCACCAAGGCGACGAUCCCUAGCUGGUCUGAGAGGAUGAUCAGCCACACUGGAACUGAGACACGGUCCAGACUCCUACGGGAGGCAGCGGUGGGGAAUAUUGCACAAUGGGCGAAAGCCUGAUGCAGCCAUGCCGCGUGUGUGAAGAAGGCCUUCGGGUUGUAAAGCACUUUCAGCGAGGAGGAAAGGUUANGUCUUAAUACGGCUUAGCUGUGACGUUACUCGCAGAAGAAGCACCGGCUAACUUCGUGCCAGCAGCCGCGGUAAUAC